This 301-nucleotide ribosomal RNA is filed under the name uncultured bacterium. RNAcentral's name for it is "partial 16S ribosomal RNA". It matches the Rfam family "Bacterial small subunit ribosomal RNA", at positions 509 to 808 of the family's 1533-position model. The record is from RNAcentral.
CAGUAGCCGCGGUAAAACGUAGGGGGCGAGCGUUGUCCGAAGUUACUGGGCGUAAAGAGCGCGUAGGCGGGUCUUUAAGUGAGGGGUGAAAGGUUCAGGGCUCAACCCGGACACUGCCUUUCAUACUGGAGACCUUGAGUGUGGGAGAGGCGAGUGGAAUGGUCGGUGUAGCGGUGAAAUGCGUAGAUAUCGAUCGGAACACCCAUGGCGAAGGCAGCUCGCUGGCCUAUAACUGACGCUGAGGCGCGAAAGCGUGGGGAGCAAACAGGAUUAGAUACCCGUGUAGUCCCUGUCUCUUAUA